RNAcentral lists this unclassified non-coding RNA (265 nucleotides) under uncultured Hypocreales. RNAcentral's name for it is "sequence contains ITS2". RNAcentral also lists the same sequence under 1 other name. Lineage: Eukaryota; Fungi; Ascomycota; Sordariomycetes; Hypocreales. The record is from RNAcentral.
AACGCACAUGGCGCCUUCCAGUAUCCUGGGAGGCAUGCCUGUCCGAGCGUCGUUUCAACCCUCGAGCCCCCGUGGCCCGGCGUUGGGGAUCUGCCCAGGCAGUCCCCGAAAACCAGUGGCGGACCCGUCGGGCCCUUCCUUUGCGUAGUAAUAUCUGCCUCGCAUCGGGAGCCCUCGGGCUAUCCGGCCUCUAAACCCCCCUCAAGCCCGCUCCGGCGGCACCAAGGUUGACCUCGGAUCAGGUAGGAAUACCCGCUGAACUUAA